GGGUCCAGCUGGAAACAAAGAGGCUUGGUGAACAGAGGCCCAGCCCGCCAAUGAAUACGGCCCGACUCUUUCCAGAGAGCCAGAGGACCAGAUGCCGAGCAGUCCUGGGAGCUCAGGGCCCCGCUGCUUCCAGGCCUUUGCUGUCUGGGGCCUGAGCUCACCCAGGGCUGGUUUCCUGCGGCCCCGGCUUGGAGACACUGAGUAACACGCGUGGGACUGGCAGGUCUGCCCCGUGCCUGGACCACCCCAGGCGGUGUCCCUAGUAACCACGUGCACAGCCUCUCACGGAGCUAGGGAAGAGAAGACACCGAGUGUGGUCCCCGCUCAUCAGCAAACCAUCGGGGUGACCCACAGCCCUGGCGCCCACCCCCUGUGGCUCUCAGGCGGCCAGCCCCAGCCUGGUGGGGUGGACGUGGACUGACAAGUGUCCUUCCCCCAGCGACUCGCCUCCUCUUGGACAGCCACUCCUUAAUGGCCCACGUGCUGCUGUCCGAGCUCCAUACAUGGGCUCUGCAACCCACACUUCGGGGUGGGGGGGCAGGCCUUCCCAGGGAACCUCUGCUCGCUGCAGGAGAAAUCCGGCUUCCCCUUGUGACCUCCUGGUUUACUGCCAUGAUGAAAUCUGCUCUCUUGAGCCCUAGUGUGGCCUUCUCUCUCUCCACUGCUCUGCUGAUCCCAACCAGUCUCCAGCACCACUAAAAUUAAGGGAUGGGGCCAGC
Molecule: non-coding RNA, 719 nt
Organism: Oryctolagus cuniculus (rabbit)
Lineage: Eukaryota; Metazoa; Chordata; Mammalia; Lagomorpha; Leporidae
Source: RefSeq, a predicted model, not a curated record